RNAcentral lists this ribosomal RNA (492 nucleotides) under uncultured bacterium. Its description in RNAcentral is "partial 16S ribosomal RNA". It matches the Rfam family "Bacterial small subunit ribosomal RNA", at positions 29 to 507 of the family's 1533-position model. The record is from RNAcentral.
AGUGAACGCUGGCGGUAGGCCUAACACAUGCAAGUCGAACGGCAGCACAGUAAGGGUUUGCUCUUACGGGUGGCGAGUGGGGGGCGGGUGAGGAAUACAUCGGACUCUACUUUUUCGUGGGGGAUAUCGUAGAGACACUAACGCUAAUACCGCAUACGACCUACGGGUGAAAGGAGGGGCUCUUCGGACCUUGCCCGCUUGAGUGAGCCGAUGUCGGUUUAGCUAGUUGGCGGGGUAAAGGCACACCAAGGCGACGAUCCGUAGCGUGUCUGAGAGGAUGAUCAGCCACACUGGAACUGAGACACGGUCCAGACUCCUACGGGAGGCAGCAGUGGGGAAUAUUGGACAAUGGGCGCAAGCCUGAUCCAGCCAUACCGCGUGGGUGAAGAAGGCCUUCGGGUUGUAAAGCCCUUUUGUUGGGAAAGAAAAGAAGCAGGUUAAUACCCCGCUGUACUGACGGUACCCAAAGAAGAAGCACCGGCUAACUUCGUG